UCAGUUGAAAAUGGCGCCGAUGAACUGUGUGUAGGGGUGAAAGGCCAAUCAAACUUCGUGAUAGCUGGUUCUCUCCGAAAUGCAUUUAGGUGCAGCGUUACGUGUUUCUUACCGGAGGUAGAGCUACCGAUAGGACUAGGGGGAGUCACAUCCUACCAAAUCCUGACGAACUCCGAAUGCCGGCGUAUAUACACAGGAGUGAGGGCAUGGGUGCUAAGGUCCGUGUCCGAGAGGGAAAGAACCCAGACUCACAGCUAAGGUCCCCAAAUCUAUGCUAAGUUGAACAAAGGAGGUCCAGUUGCUUAGACAGCCAGGAAGUUAGCUUGGAAGCAGCUAUCUUUUAAAGAGUGCGUAACAGCUCACUGGUCGAGCGACAGGGCAUCGAUAAUAAACGGGCAUCAAGUGUAGUACCGAAGCUUGAGAUAGUAGUAAUACUGUGGUAGGGGAGCAUUCUCUGUGCAGCGAAGGUGUGUGGUAACGCAUGCUGGAGCGCAGAGAAAAGCAAAUGUAGGCAUAAGUAACGAUAAGGCAGGUGAGAAACCUGCCCACCGAAAGACUAAGGUUUCCUGUAUCAACGAUAAUCGGAUCAGGGUUAGUCGGGGCCUAAGAUUGAAGCGAGAGCGAAGAUCGAUGGACAGCUGGUUAAUAUUCCAGCACUUUCUAUGGGAGCGAUGUCGUGACGGGGCAGAGAAUUACCCGCGCACUGACGGAAUAGUGCGUUGAAGGGCGUAAGCGUUGAUGGUGUAGGCAAAUCCGCACCUGAGCUGAACCUGAUAGUACCCAAGGCCUUCGGGCGGCGGGAUAGUGGUAAAACGAGCCUCCAAGAAAAACGGCUAAGCAUAUGUCAUAGAAACCCGUACCGUAAACCGACACAGGUAGUCGAGGAGAGAAUCCUCAGGUGCUCGAGUGAGUCACGGCCAAGGAACUCGGCAAAAUAACCCUGUAACUUCGGGAGAAGGGGAGCCCCGCCCAUGGCGGGGUCGCAGAGAAAUGGCCCAGGCGACUGUUUACCAAAAACACAUGGCUUUGCGAAAUCGAAAGAUGAAGUAUAAGGCCUGACACCUGCCCGGUGCCGGAAGGUUAAGAGGGGGGCUUAGGGGUAACCCGAAGGUCUGAAUUGAAGCCCCGGUAAACGGCGGCCGUAACUAUAACGGUCCUAAGGUAGCGAAAUUCCUUGUCGGGUAAGUUCCGACCUGCACGAAUGGUGUAACGAUCUGGGCGCUGUCUCAGCCGUGAGCUCGGUGAAAUUGUAGUAGCGGUGAAGAUGCCGCUUACCCGCAACGGGACGAAAAGACCCCGUGCACCUUUACUAUAGCUUUACAUUGACUUCGGAUAAACGAUGUGUAGGAUAGGUGGGAGGCUUUGAGCCGGUGUCGCCAGGCAUCGGGGAGCCAACGUUGAAAUACCACCCUUUGUUUAUCUGGAGCCUAAUGGAUUAGAUCCAGACAGUGUAUGGUGGGUAGUUUGACUGGGGUGGUCGCCUCCAAAAGAGUAUCGGAGGCUUUCAAAGGUACCCUCAGUACGCUUGGUAACCGUACGUGGAGUGCAAUCGCACAAGGGUCCGAGUAGUGGUGUUUCUGCUUUUUGCUCUAGAGCUGUAACUUUGCAUGUCAUUAGGACGCUGUCACGCCAUUUUGGUAGUUUUUUACUUGCCUCAUACAUGAUGGCUUUACCGC
Molecule: ribosomal RNA, 1676 nt
Filed under: freshwater metagenome
Description: bacterial LSU rRNA
Rfam family: Bacterial large subunit ribosomal RNA
Source: RNAcentral